This 347-nucleotide unclassified non-coding RNA is filed under the name soil metagenome. RNAcentral's name for it is "partial contains 5.8S ribosomal RNA, internal transcribed spacer 2, and large subunit ribosomal RNA". The stretch from base 1 to 120 matches the Rfam family "5.8S ribosomal RNA", at positions 35 to 154 of the family's 154-position model. The record is from RNAcentral.
GAUGAAGAACGCAUCGAAAUGCGAUAACUAAUGUGAAUUGCAGAAUUCCGUGAAUCAUCGAGUCUUUGAACGCACAUUGCGCCCCCUGGUAUUCCGGGGGGCAUGCCUGUCCGAGCGUCAUUGCUGCCCAUCAAGCACGGCUUGUGUGUUGGGUCCCGUCCCCCUCUCCCGGGGGACGGACCCGAAAGGCAGCGGCGGCACCGCGUCCGGUCCUCGAGCGUAUGGGGCUUUGUCACCCGCUCUUGUAGGCCCGGCCGGCGCUUGCCGACACCCAACCAUUUUUUUCAGGUUGACCUCGGAUCAGGUAGGGAUACCCGCUGAACUUAAGCAUAUCAAUAAGCGGAGGA